GUCUAUGGCCAUGCCACCCUGAACGUGCCUGAUCUCGUCUGAUCUCGGAAGCUAAGCAGGGUCGGGCCUGUUUAGUACUUGGAUGGAUGACCAUCUAGGACGACCAGGAGUUAAAAAGG
RNAcentral lists this ribosomal RNA (119 nucleotides) under Pteropus alecto (black flying fox). The record is from RNAcentral. Lineage: Eukaryota; Metazoa; Chordata; Mammalia; Chiroptera; Pteropodidae.